This is a non-coding RNA of Sus scrofa (pig), 2403 nucleotides long. The record is from RefSeq and is a predicted model, not a curated record. Lineage: Eukaryota; Metazoa; Chordata; Mammalia; Artiodactyla; Suidae.
GUCCUCCCCCAGCCAUUCUCCUCCAUGGGCUGUAGACACUCACAUUCAAGCCCUUCCUGAAAUCUUGACCCACAGAAACAAACAGAAAGAUAUAAAAUAAGUGUUGUUCUAAGCAGUAAAGUUGCAGUGGUUUCUUACACAGCAAUAGAUAACUGGAAGAGAAAGUGUGUGAAAGAAAACAAAAUGAGAUAACAGAAAUGUAAAAACAGAAGACAGACAUAUCUCUGAGAAUAGCAGCUUCAAGGAGAACAGAAUGGAAAAGAUAAAAAUUGUCUGAAGGACAAGAAUUUGUGUGGCUGGCUUAUUAAGCCCUUACUUAAUGAAAGGCUUAAGAUUUCUUCCAAUCUAUUCAUUUUGCCAAAUAAAUUAAAGAAAAUUAAUAUUUGAAAUCGGUUGAGGCCAGUAUGAGCUAAUUGAAAAUUGAAACAAAGUCAUUUUGAAAAAAUGCAAGAACAGAGUCAUGGUCAUUUCUACAGGGUUUCCAGGAAAAAUUUCUGCCUGACCUCUUUUAGCAAAUAGCCAAGACAUUUGUAAGGAGAAGCUCCAAUUUACAUGCAACCCUUGUUCUAAAAACCUUUCAAGAUUUUCUGCCUUAAGAAUGUGAAAUUUGCCUGUUCUUUUCUCAUUUAUCCUGUCAAUAUGCCUAGCAAACAUUUCACAUUUGGAUGAUACAAUCAUAAACCUCAAUCCAGCUCUUCAGAAAUUUUUUGCGGAAAAAAGAAAAAAAAAAAAAAAACAACAGCAGAAGACUAAAUUAAUGAGGUUUUAUAAAACCCAGCAAACAAGCAGCUCUUGUCUCGAGGUUUGCACAAAACAAAGGCCCUUCUGUGAUUAUGUUCCCACAACAAAGUGCUACUUCCUAAUUAAACCUACACAGAGUAUAAAACACUGCUUCAGAAAGCAGCCUUGAUUUUCUACACCAUAGAAAACGUUUCUGUUUUUACAAAACCUAGUUUGUCUUCUCAAGGAACAUAACACAUUGCUACUCACAAACCUGACCACGCCCAGUGAAAGCUUUGCCCCGGUGUAAACAUUUGCUAAAGAAGACUAUGAAACCCUGAUUCACGGUCCUGCUUCUUGGCCAAAAAAACAUCUGUUAGGGAGCAUCCAGAUCCCGCUGAGUGGAAAGGAGAACAGGGGUCGAGGGAGAACCCAGACACUCUCGAAUCAGAGGGAGAUGGUAAGACACCCUGUUGUUCUCCCUGUGAAAUCAUCACAGAAAGGGAAACAAUGAUAGAAGACCAGGAACAAAGGAGAUGAGACAGCGUGGAGGGUGUGGAAGGCACCAGAAGCUGGGGCGUCCAGCCCCAGACGCAGCACAUAAAGCUGCAUGACUCGGGGCAAGCCAGCGGACCACUCUGCGCUGUCUCCGUACCUCCAAAGAGGGAACCAUGCCUACUCCACGCUGCUGGGAUGAAGCAAUAUGGACAGGUUGGGGGAACCAGGACCCAUCUCUUGUUUCUCUUCAUUCUCCUACAUGGUCUUGAAGCAAAGAAAGUGGGGUCUGAGCCAGGUGGCAUUGGUGCUGAUGUGAGCAUUGCUGGCAAGGUUGAGAAUGGCAGGGAACAGCCCUGAAAGUCAGAAGUCACCAGAUCAGCUCAGCCACUUGAAACUUAAAGGUCAGAUUUCUUCUUCUUAUUUCCCAGAUGAAUCAGAAAGAGAUAGCUUAGGGUUACCAAAGGGGAAAUGGAGGAAUAAAUCAAGAGUUUGGGAGUAACGGAUACACACUACUAUAUAUAAAAGAGAUAAACAACAAGGACCCACUAUAUAGAACUCUACUCAAUAUCUUAUAAUAACCUAUAAUGGAAAAGAAUCUGAAAAAGAAUAUACAUAUAGGUAUGUAUGUGUGUGUGUAUAUAUGUGUGUGUGUAUGUAUAUAUAAGUGAAUCACUUUGCUAUACACCUGAAAUACUGUAAAUCAACUAUACUUCAAUGAAAAAAAAAGAGAGACGGUAAGUCCACAUGCUGAGUAGAGGGAGCCUACAGAAAAGCAGUCUAUGUGAGUUUCAUUUCACAUGAAUUCUAGGACCAGCAAAACUCAUCUACAGGAAGAACCGUGAACAGCAGCUGCAUGGGGUGGGGACUGACUGUGAAGGAACAUGAAGGGCCUUUCAGGGGUUGGGCACUGUUCUAGGUCUUGAUAAAGCUUUGGAUUCACAGGCACAUGCAGGUGUGGAAAAUCACAGAAUGCAUAAAGUUUGGGUAGAUGUGUGUGUUCCACUCCAUGUAGAUCUGACCUCAGAAAAUUAUAAAAGGGUCAUAAAAUAUUGAUGUAAAUGCUGAACAGUUUAGGAGCCAAGUGUACUUAGGUCUUUAACUCCCUUGGAAAUGCAUCAAACAAGAAGCUGGAUUGACAGGUAGAGACGGGCAUGCGGAAAGACAGGUGAGGAAGAGAGCAGAGUA